UGGGGAUUGGUGUAACGGUAGCACAGCAGACUCUGGAUCUGCUUGUCCAGGUUCGAAUCCUGGAUCCCCAG
RNAcentral lists this transfer RNA (71 nucleotides) under Phycisphaerae bacterium. RNAcentral describes it as "tRNA-Gln". It matches the Rfam family "tRNA". From Rfam's summary of the family: Transfer RNA (tRNA) molecules are approximately 80 nucleotides in length. Their secondary structure includes four short double-helical elements and three loops (D, anti-codon, and T loops). Further hydrogen bonds mediate the characteristic L-shaped molecular structure. tRNAs have two regions of fundamental functional importance: the anti-codon, which is responsible for specific mRNA codon recognition, and the 3' end, to which the tRNAs corresponding amino acid is attached (by aminoacyl-tRNA synthetases). tRNAs cope with the degeneracy of the genetic code in two manners: having more than one tRNA (with a specific anti-codon) for a particular amino acid; and 'wobble' base-pairing, i.e. permitting non-standard base-pairing at the 3rd anti-codon position. The record is from RNAcentral. Lineage: Bacteria; Pseudomonadati; Planctomycetota; Phycisphaerae.